Molecule: long non-coding RNA, 277 nt
Organism: Oreochromis aureus
Lineage: Eukaryota; Metazoa; Chordata; Actinopteri; Cichliformes; Cichlidae
Exons: 2
Source: RefSeq, a predicted model, not a curated record
UCUGACGUCCCACUUCUCUCACACACACCUUAGAAAUGCAAGAUGGCAGGGAAGCAAAAUCCAGAAGUACAUAUAAAAAGGAUCUGACUCAUCUAUGAAAUCAACACGAAGCGGAACACUCGAGUCAUGUUUAGCAGGACUAACCCAAGUAGACGAGAGGGGUGUUCCCUUUCCCACAGUGCAUGAUGGGUAAUGAGGAAGAACAGCUAUUCUGAAUACUCUUGCUCUCUGACGUGCACACACAUUGUAACAGCAAAGGAAACACCUUGGAAAUCUU